This 253-nucleotide ribosomal RNA is filed under the name uncultured bacterium. RNAcentral's name for it is "partial 16S ribosomal RNA". It matches the Rfam family "Bacterial small subunit ribosomal RNA", at positions 524 to 776 of the family's 1533-position model. The record is from RNAcentral.
GACAGAGGUGGCGAGCGUUGUUCGGAAUUACUGGGCUUAAAGGGCGAGUAGGCGGUGGAGCAAGUCUGAGGUGGAAUCCUACGGCUUAACCGUAGAACUGCCUUAGAAACUGUUUUACUUGAGUCAAUGAGGGGAGGGCGGAAUUCCUGGUGUAGCGGUGAAAUGCGUAGAUAUCAGGAGGAAGGCCUGUGGCGAAAGUGGCCCUCUGGCAUUGUACUGACGCUGAGGCGCGAAAGCGUGGGGAGCAAACAGG